RNAcentral lists this ribosomal RNA (242 nucleotides) under Vibrio parahaemolyticus. Its description in RNAcentral is "partial 16S ribosomal RNA". It matches the Rfam family "Bacterial small subunit ribosomal RNA", at positions 1153 to 1394 of the family's 1533-position model. The record is from RNAcentral. Lineage: Bacteria; Pseudomonadati; Pseudomonadota; Gammaproteobacteria; Vibrionales; Vibrionaceae.
CGGUGAUAAACCGGAGGAAGGUGGGGACGACGUCAAGUCAUCAUGGCCCUUACGAGUAGGGCUACACACGUGCUACAAUGGCGCAUACAGAGGGCAGCCAACUUGCGAAAGUGAGCGAAUCCCAAAAAGUGCGUCGUAGUCCGGAUUGGAGUCUGCAACUCGACUCCAUGAAGUCGGAAUCGCUAGUAAUCGUGGAUCAGAAUGCCACGGUGAAUACGUUCCCGGGCCUUGUACACACCGCC